This 406-nucleotide ribosomal RNA is filed under the name uncultured bacterium. Its description in RNAcentral is "partial 16S ribosomal RNA". It matches the Rfam family "Bacterial small subunit ribosomal RNA", at positions 30 to 526 of the family's 1533-position model. The record is from RNAcentral.
AUUGAACGCUGGCGGCAGGCCUAACACAUGCAAGUCGAACGAGUGGCGGACGGGUUAGUAAUGUCUGGGAAACUGCCCGAUGGAGGGGGAUAACUACUGGAAACGGUAGCUAAUACCGCAUACCAUCGGAUGUGCCCAGAUGGGAUUAGCUGGUAGGUGAGGUAACGGCUCACCUAGGCGACGAUCCCUAGCUGGUCGGAGAGGAUGACCCGCCACACUGGAACUGAGACACGGUCCAGACUCCUACGGGAGGCAGCAGUGGGGAAUAUUGCCAAAGUGGCGCAAGCGUGAGACAUCCCGGCCGCGUGUAUGAAGAAGGCCUUCGGGUUGUAAAGUACUUUCAGCGGGGAGGCGUUACCCGCAGAAGAAGCACCGGCUAACUCCGUGCCAGCAGCCGCGGUAAUAC